This 226-nucleotide long non-coding RNA is filed under the name Lathyrus oleraceus (garden pea). RNAcentral's name for it is "Pisum sativum (pea) long non-coding RNA (PSAT_LNC027057)". Lineage: Eukaryota; Viridiplantae; Streptophyta; Magnoliopsida; Fabales; Fabaceae. The record is from RNAcentral.
UUUACUCCACCCUUGUGGAGAUUGUACAAACUUUUAUGUUAAGCAUGUUGUUCCUUUACAAAUUGUGCCAGGGAGGAAAAGGGAUUUUCUGAUCGUGUCCAUAUGAUAAUCAAUAAAUUUUUCAAAGAGUGACUAAAAAGAGUCUUUAACAUUCUUUACCAUUAGGACCAUGUCGAUAGUGUUCUCAGAGUAUUGGACCAUUCUUCCUCUCAAUAAUACUUCUAAC